UUGCCAGCCCGCUCAGAAACUUAAAGGAAUUGACGGGGCCCGCACAAGCGGAGGAGCAUGUGGUUUAAUUCGAUGAUACGCGAGGAACCUUACCUGGGCUCGAACGUAAGAUGACUGUAGGUGAAAGCUUACAUCUCUUCGGAGCAUUUUACGAGGUGCUGCAUGGUUGUCGUCAGCUCGUGCCGUGAGGUGUCGGGUUAAGUCCCAUAACGAGCGCAACCCUACCUUUAGUUGCCAUCAGGUAAUGCUGGGGACUCUAAAGGAACUGCCUACGCAAGUAGUGAGGAAGCGGGGAUGACGUCAAAUCAGCACGGCCCUUACGUCCAGGGCUACACACGUGCUACAAUGGCCGAUACAGAGGGCAGCUACCUGGUGACAGGAUGCAAAUCUCCAAAGUCGGUCUCAGUUCGGAUCGGAGUCUGCAACCCGACUCCGUGAAGUUGGAUUCGCUAGUAAUCGCGCAUCAGCCAUGGCGCGGUGAAUACGUUCCCGGGCCUU
RNAcentral lists this ribosomal RNA (498 nucleotides) under uncultured Sphingobacteriales bacterium. RNAcentral's name for it is "bacterial SSU rRNA". It matches the Rfam family "Bacterial small subunit ribosomal RNA", at positions 903 to 1382 of the family's 1533-position model. The record is from RNAcentral. Lineage: Bacteria; Pseudomonadati; Bacteroidota; Sphingobacteriia; Sphingobacteriales.